CCUACGGGAGGCAGCAGUGAGGAAUAUUGGUCAAUGGACGAGAGUCUGAACCAGCCAAGUAGCGUGAAGGAUGACUGCCCUAUGGGUUGUAAACUUCUUUUAUAUGGGAAUAAAACGUUCCACGUGUGGGAUUUUGUAUGUACCAUAUGAAUAAGGAUCGGCUAACUCCGUGCCAGCAGCCGCGGUAAUACGGAGGAUCAGAGCGUUUUCCGGAUUUAUUGGGUUUAAAGGGAGCGUAGGUGGAUUGUUAAGUCAGUUGUGAAAGUUUGCGGCUCAACCGUAAAAUUGCAGUUGAAACUGGCAGUCUUGAGUACAGUAGAGGUAGGCGGAAUUCGUAGUGUAGCGGUGAAAUGCUUAGAUAUCACGAAGAACUCCAGUUGCGAAGGCAGUUCACUGGACUGCAACUGACACUGAGGCUCGAAAGUGUGGGUAUCAAACAGGAUUAGAUACCCCAGUAGUC
This 460-nucleotide ribosomal RNA is filed under the name uncultured bacterium. Its description in RNAcentral is "partial 16S ribosomal RNA". It matches the Rfam family "Bacterial small subunit ribosomal RNA", at positions 338 to 795 of the family's 1533-position model. The record is from RNAcentral.